AAUAGGCUUGGUCCUGGCCUUUCUAUUAGCUCUUAGCAGGAUUACACAUGCAAGCAUCCCCGCUCCAGUGAAGACGCCCUACAAAUCAUCAUGACCAAGAGGAGCAAGCAUCAAGCACGCACACGCAGCUCAAAACGCUUUGCCUAGCCACACCCCCACGGGAGACAGCAGUGACAAAUAUUUAGCAAUAAACGAAAGUUCAACUAAGCCAUGCUAUAUUUAGGGUUGGUCAAUUUCGUGCCAGCCACCGCGGUUACACGAUUAACCCCAGCUAAUAGGGAUCGGCGUAGAGGGUGUUUAAGAUCUAACAUAAUAAAGCUAAACUCCACCUAAACUGUAAAACCCUAGCUAAUGUAAAAUAAACUACGAAAGUGGCUUUAAAGCUUCUGAACACACAAUAGCCAAGACCCAAACUGGGAUUAGACACCCCACUAUGCUUGGCCCUAAACCUCAGUAGUUAGAUAACAAAACUACUCGCCAGAAUACUACAAGCAACAGCUUGAAACUCAAAGGACUUGACGGUGCUUUACAUCCCCCUAGAGGAGCCUGUUCCAUAAUCGAUAAACCCCGAUCCACCCUACCCUCUCUUGCUCAGCCUAUAUACCGCCAUCUUCAGCAAACCCUAAUGAAGGCCACAAAGUGAGCGCAAACGCCGCCGCCGCGAAUACGUUAGGUCAAGGUGUAGCCCAUGAGACGGCAAAAAAUGGGCUACAUUUUCUAUUUCAGAAAACCCACGAAAACCCUUAUGAAACUUAAGGGUCCAAGGAGGAUUUAGCAGUAAAUUAAGAAUAGAGUGCUUAAUUGAACCAGGCCAUAAAGCGCGCACACACCGCCCGUCACUCCUCUCAAAUAUAUUUAAGGAAUAUCCUAACUAAACGCCCUAAUAUUUAUAUAGAGAGGAUAAGUCGUAACAUGGUAAGCGUACUGGAAGGUGCGCUUGGAUAAAU
RNAcentral lists this non-coding RNA (947 nucleotides) under Macaca fascicularis (crab-eating macaque). RNAcentral's name for it is "12S ribosomal RNA". It matches the Rfam family "Bacterial small subunit ribosomal RNA". The record is from RNAcentral. Lineage: Eukaryota; Metazoa; Chordata; Mammalia; Primates; Cercopithecidae.